This 28-nucleotide transfer RNA is filed under the name Mystacina tuberculata (New Zealand lesser short-tailed bat). Its description in RNAcentral is "partial tRNA-Pro". The record is from RNAcentral. Lineage: Eukaryota; Metazoa; Chordata; Mammalia; Chiroptera; Mystacinidae.
CUGAAAUUCUAAUUAAACUACUCCUUGA